GUCUGAGAGGGGUAAAGCCCUCGGCGAACUGCUCAGUAACACGUGGAUAACCUGACCUAGGGUGGAGGAUAACCCCGGGAAACUGGGGAUAAUACUCCAUAGGCUACGGAAGCUGGAAUGCUCUGUAACCCAAAGCUCCGGCGCCCUAGGAUGGGUCUGCGGCCGAUUAGGUUGUUGUUGGGGUAACGGCCCAACAAGCCGAUCAUCGGUACGGGUUGUGGGAGCAAGAGCCCGGAGAUGGAUUCUGAGACAUGAAUCCAGGCCCUACGGGGCGCAGCAGGCGCAAAAACUUUACAAUGCGGGAAGCCGUGAUAAGGGGACCCCGAGUGCCUGUACACGCAGGCUGUUCAGGUGUUUAAAACGCAUCUGGAGA
RNAcentral lists this ribosomal RNA (373 nucleotides) under uncultured methanogenic archaeon. RNAcentral's name for it is "bacterial SSU rRNA". It matches the Rfam family "Archaeal small subunit ribosomal RNA", at positions 57 to 436 of the family's 1478-position model. Lineage: Archaea; Methanobacteriati; Methanobacteriota. The record is from RNAcentral.